ACUUGGUUCGGAGCCAGUAUUUUGAACUGCUCCGCAGUGGGAAAGGGUCACAGUGCAAGAUGUCUAAAGACCUAUUUUGCAGACUGAUAAGGAACACUGUAACCAGCAUGGUGGCUAUCCUCCGUGCCAGUAGUUCGUGUCAAGAACAGAUGUACCCUUCAAAAAGGGAAAUUCAGGCAGUGGCUGAGAAGAUUGUUGAUUAUUACCCUAUGCUGCAAGACUCAUCAAACACGCCUUAUCUGACUGUGUACUCUAAAAUGUAUAAGCGUAUCCAAAACAUCAAGUCCCCAAGAAAAAGGCAAGGACGAAUGCCACAACGGGGGGUACCUAAGAAGAGGUCUCUCCUUGAAGAUGACAGUGAUGCUUCAACCAAUUUGUCGGUUGCUUCAACAGUAAUUCUGCCGGACAGCGAUGAUAACGACGCUGAGCUCAGCCAAGGUAUGCCAAUGGAGAAGUAAAUGAGUGCUAAAAUAUUCCACCACAAUACGAUUUUGUUUGUAAAGACCCGUUAUCAUGAACCCUUUUUAACUUUUUUUAAAGCCUUUCUAGGGGCAUGAAUAAAUGUCCUUGUAUUUGACCUUUUCUUUGGUGUUGUAUGUUAAGACCAGGACAGCCGCAAAACACAAGCAAGGCACUAUCAGACAUUACAGACCAUGUACAGCAAACCUAAGUCUAAGCCAAAUGGAAGUGAUGUUGCUCAGAUUUUGGACUUGGAGUUCGAGGCCAGGCGGGCCUUUAUUGAUUCUGAUGCAACAAAGGAAGAAGACAAGGCAGCCAAGAUUAUGGAUGCAUAUCCAUGUUUUAGAGAUCCCCGACAUGCAGUUGACGAGCUUGGGCGUAUCCUUGGUGGCGCCAACAGUAAAUACAUUGACGAUACCAAGAAAAGAUGGCAGACCUUCUGUACCAAUGUCCAAUUCUAUGGUCUGUGGAAGAAGGUCCUAAAACCCCCCAUUCCUGUGGAUAUGGCUGGAGGUAUGUUCUGUAUUAUAAUCUGCAUUGUAAUCUAUCAAAUCAUGUGCAGAAUAUGUGCAUAGUGUAUCUGACAU
Gadus macrocephalus (Pacific cod) is the source of this 1046-nucleotide long non-coding RNA. RefSeq lists it as uncharacterized. Lineage: Eukaryota; Metazoa; Chordata; Actinopteri; Gadiformes; Gadidae. The record is from RefSeq and is a predicted model, not a curated record. The transcript has 3 exons.